GACGAACGCUGGCGGCGUGCUUAAUACAUGCAAGUCUAACGAGAACGCUUUCCUUCGGGAAGGUUAUUAAAGUGGCGAACGGGUGAGUAACACGUAGGCAACUUGCCCUCAGGUGGGGAAUAACUCUGCCAACGCGGGGAUAAUACCGCAUGUGGCGAUAUAUUCGCAUGGACGUAUCGUUAAAGCGGGGGAUCUUCGGACCUCGCGCCUGAGGAUGGGCCUGCGUUCCAUUAGCUUGUUGGUGAGGUAACGGCUCACCAAGGCAUCGAUGGAUAGCCGACCUGAGAGGGUGACCGGCCACACUGGGACUGAGAUACGGCCCAGACUCCUACGGGAGGCAGCAGUAGGGAAUAUUGCGCAAUGGCCUAACGGCUGACACAGCAACGCCGCGUGAAUGAUUAAGCCCUAAGGGGUGUAAAGUUCUGUUAGGGGGGAAGAACGGCUCCGAUUAAAAUAUUUUCGGAGCGUGACGGUACCUCCAGAGAAAGCACCGGCUAACUCCGU
Molecule: ribosomal RNA, 504 nt
Filed under: uncultured Paenibacillus sp.
Lineage: Bacteria; Bacillati; Bacillota; Bacilli; Caryophanales; Paenibacillaceae
Description: bacterial SSU rRNA
Rfam family: Bacterial small subunit ribosomal RNA
Source: RNAcentral